ACUCGGGUGGAUAUAAUACAACCUGCUAAGUGUUCUAGCACUUAGCAGGUUGUAUUAUCAUUGUCCGAGGU
Molecule: non-coding RNA, 71 nt
Organism: Mus musculus (house mouse)
Lineage: Eukaryota; Metazoa; Chordata; Mammalia; Rodentia; Muridae
Source: Rfam